RNAcentral lists this RNase P RNA (344 nucleotides) under Candidatus Shikimatogenerans bostrichidophilus. RNAcentral's name for it is "RNase P RNA component class A". It matches the Rfam family "Bacterial RNase P class A". Rfam says of the family: Ribonuclease P (RNase P) is a ubiquitous endoribonuclease, found in archaea, bacteria and eukarya as well as chloroplasts and mitochondria. Its best characterised activity is the generation of mature 5'-ends of tRNAs by cleaving the 5'-leader elements of precursor-tRNAs. Lineage: Bacteria; Pseudomonadati; Bacteroidota; Flavobacteriia; Flavobacteriales. The record is from RNAcentral.
AAAGUUAAUAUCUUUAUCACGUUAAUUAAUAAUUUAUUUUAAAAAUUAAUGAGGAAAGUCUGGACACUAAAGAGAAAAUACAAAGGAUAAUAACCUUACAUUGUAAAAUGAUGAAUAGUGCAACAGAAAGAAAGUAUAAAAUUAAAAAAUUUUAUAGUGAAAUCAUGUAAACUCUGUAUAGUGAAAUGUCAAAAUUCCAUAACUUUCUCGGUUAAUAUGGUAGGUAGACAGAUUGAAAUAUAUGGUAACAUAUAUUCUAGAUAAAUGAUAAAGUAUAUUAUAUUAUUAUAAUAUAUUAUUAUAAUAUAAUAUAACAGAAUCCAGCUUAUAUAUUAACUUUUUUU